CAUAGCUUAAUGAGGGGAACUCAGGGAACUGAAACAUCUAAGUACCUGAAGGAAGAGAAAGAAAUUCGAUUCCGGAAGUAGCGGCGAGCGAACGCGGAUUAGCCCAAACCAAUAAAGUUUUCUUUAUUGGGGUUGCGGACAUAUCAUAACGAAGAGGUAUCGUAAUUGAAGAGGUUUGGAAAGACCCACCACAGAAGGUAAU
This 202-nucleotide ribosomal RNA is filed under the name Clostridioides difficile. RNAcentral's name for it is "partial 23S ribosomal RNA". It matches the Rfam family "Bacterial large subunit ribosomal RNA", at positions 165 to 368 of the family's 2925-position model. Lineage: Bacteria; Bacillati; Bacillota; Clostridia; Peptostreptococcales; Peptostreptococcaceae. The record is from RNAcentral.